AGGGUGCAGGGCGGAUGCCUUGGCACUAGGAGCCGAUGAAGGACGUGAUAAGCUGCGAUAAGCUUCGGGGAGUUGCACGUAAACUUUGAUCCGAAGAUUUCCGAAUGAGGAAACUCACUUAGAGUAAUGUCUAAGUAUCAUUAAGUGAAUACAUAGCUUAAUGAGGGGAACUCAGGGAACUGAAACAUCUAAGUACCUGAAGGAAGAGAAAGAAAUUCGAUUCCGUAAGUAGCGGCGAGCGAACGCGGAUUAGCCCAAACCAAUGAAGUUUUCUUUAUUGGGGUUGUGGACAUAUCAUAACGAAGAGGUAUCGUAAUUGAAGAGGUUUGGAAAGACCCACCACAGAAGGUAAUAGUCCUGUAUGUUAAACGAGAAGACUUCAGAUAUGAUCCAGAGUACCACGGGACACGUGAAACCCUGUGGGAAGCAGGAGGGACCACCCUCCAAGGCUAAAUACUACCUAGUGACCGAUAGCGUAUAGUACCGUGAGGGAAAGGUGAAAAGAACCCCGGGAGGGGAGUGAAAUAGAACCUGAAACCCUGCACUUACAAGCUGUGGAAGCACAUUUCUUGUGUGACCGCGUACUUUUUGUAGAACGGGCCAACGAGUUACGUUAAGUAGCAAGGUUAAGCACUUAAGGUGCGGAGCCGUAGCGAAAGCGAGUUUUAACUGAGCGUUCAGUUACUUGACGUAGACCCGAAACCGGGCGACCUACCCAUGAGCAGGAUGAAGCGAAAGUAAAAUUUCGUGGAGGUCCGAACCCACGAGCGUUGAAAAGCUCGGGGAUGACUUGUGGGUAGCGGUGAAAUUCCAAUCGAGCCCGGAGAUAGCUGGUUCUCCCCGAAAUAGCUUUAGGGCUAGCCUCAAGGUGAGAGAUACGGAGGUAGAGCACUGAAUGUCCUAGGGGGUAUUGCACCUACCGAAGACUAUCAAACUCCGAAUGCCGUCAUCUUAUACUUGGGAGUCAGACUGUGGGUGAUAAGAUUCAUAGUCGAAAGGGCAACAGCCCAGAUCGUCAGCUAAGGUCCCUAAAUGUAAGUUAAGUGGUAAAGGAUGUGGGAUUGCACAGACAACCAGGAUGUUGGCUUAGAAGCAGCCACUCAUUCAAAGAGUGCGUAAUAGCUCACUGGUCGAGUGAUCCUGCGCCGAAGAUUUCCGGGGCUAAAACUUACUACCGAAGCUACGGCAUCAGUAAUGAUGGGUAGGGGAGCUUCCCAUACGGGUUGAAGCAUGACCGUAAGGACAUGUGGACAGUAUGGGAGUGAGAAUGUUGGCAUGAGUAGCGAGAUGUGGGUGAGAAUCCCACAGGCCGUAAACCCAAGGUUUCCAGGGGAAGGUUCGUCCGCCCUGGGUUAGUCGGGACCUAAGCUGAGGCCGAAAGGCGUAGGUGAUGGACAACAGGUUGAUAUUCCUGUACUACCGAUAACCGUUUGAGAGAAGGGAUGACACAGUAGGAUAAGCUAAGCACACUGUUGGUUAUGUGUGCCCAAGCAUUGAGGCAGUCAAAGUAGGCAAAUCCGCUUUGAUAAUGCUGGGAUGUGAUGGGGAGCGAAAUUUAGUAGCGAAGUAGCUGAUUUCACACUGUCAAGAAAAGUCUCUAUCGAGGUUAAAGGUACCCGUACCGCAAACCGACACAGGUGGGUGAGGAGAGUAUCCUAAGGCCAGCGAGAGAACUGUUGUUAAGGAACUCGGCAAAAUGACCCCGUAACUUAGGGAUAAGGGGUGCCACCAUCAGGUGGCCGCAGAGAAUAGGCCCAAGCGACUGUUUACCAAAAACAUAGGUUUCUGCUAAGUCGCAAGACGAUGUAUAGGAGCUGACGCCUGCCCGGUGCUGGAAGGUUAAGGGGAUCUGUUAGAGCAAUCGAAGCAGUGAACUUAAGCCCCAGUAAACGGCGGCCGUAACUAUAACGGUCCUAAGGUAGCGAAAUUCCUUGUCGGGUAAGUUCCGACCCGCACGAAAGGCGUAACGAUUUGGGCACUGUCUCAACAACAGACUCGGUGAAAUUGUAAUUCCGGUGAAGAUGCCGGAUACCUGCGACAGGACGGAAAGACCCCAUGGAGCUUUACUGUAGCUUGACAUUGGGUCUUGGUACUACAUGUACAGGAUAGGUGGGAGGCUUUGAAACCAGGACGCCAGUUUUGGCGGAGCCAUCCUUGGGAUACCACCCUUGUAGUACUGGGACUCUAACCAUAGGCCAUGAAUCUGGUCUUGGGACACUGUCA
RNAcentral lists this ribosomal RNA (2223 nucleotides) under Clostridioides difficile. RNAcentral's name for it is "bacterial LSU rRNA". It matches the Rfam family "Bacterial large subunit ribosomal RNA", at positions 14 to 2259 of the family's 2925-position model. The record is from RNAcentral. Lineage: Bacteria; Bacillati; Bacillota; Clostridia; Peptostreptococcales; Peptostreptococcaceae.